CGGAAUUAUUGGGCGUAAAGCGCGCGCAGGCGGCCGGUUAAGUCAGGUGUGAAAGGCUGCGGCUCAACCGCAGAGCUGCAUCUGAAACUGGUCGGCUUGAGUGCAGGAGAGGGGAGCGGAAUUCCCGGUGUAGCGGUGGAAUGCGUAGAGAUCGGGAGGAACACCAGUGGCGAAGGCGGCUCUCUGGUCUGUAACUGACGCUGAGGCGCGAAAGCGUGGGGAGCGAACAGGAUUAGAUACCCUGGUAGUCCACGCCGUAAACGAUGAGUGCUAAGUGUUGGAGGGUUUCCGCCCUUCAGUGCUGCAGCUAACGCAUUAAGCACUCCGCCUGGGGAGUACGGUCGCAAGACUGAAACUCAAAGGAAUUGACGGGGGCCCGCACAAGCGGUGGAGCAUGUGGUUUAAUUCGAAGCAACGCGAAGAACCUUACCAGGUCUUGACAUCCUCUGACAAUCCUGGAGACAGGACGUUCCCCUUCGGGGGACAGAGUGACAGGUGGUGCAUGGUUGUCGUCAGCUCGUGUCGUGAGAUGUUGGGUUAAGUCCCGCAACGAGCGCAACCCUUGAUCUUAGUUGCCAGCAUUUAGUUGGGCACUCUAAGGUGACUGCCGGUGACAAACCGGAGGAAGGUGGGGAUGACGUCAAAUCAUCAUGCCCCUUAUGACCUGGGCUACACACGUGCUACAAUGGAUGGUACAAAGGGCUGCAAGACCGCGAGGUUUAGCCAAUCCCAUAAAACCAUUCUCAGUUCGGAUUGUAGGCUGCAAC
RNAcentral lists this ribosomal RNA (767 nucleotides) under uncultured bacterium. RNAcentral describes it as "bacterial SSU rRNA". It matches the Rfam family "Bacterial small subunit ribosomal RNA", at positions 546 to 1311 of the family's 1533-position model. The record is from RNAcentral.